Chenopodium quinoa (quinoa) is the source of this 1131-nucleotide long non-coding RNA. RefSeq lists it as uncharacterized. The record is from RefSeq and is a predicted model, not a curated record. The transcript has 3 exons. NCBI's taxonomy places the organism in Eukaryota, Viridiplantae, Streptophyta, Magnoliopsida, Caryophyllales, Amaranthaceae.
UAAUUAAAGAGACAAGCGAAUUAAAAAUGGUUCCCUUUUAAGGAGAAUGAGGAAAUCGAGCACAAAGUACAUUAAACGAUUUUGGAGCUAUUUCACGGUGCACCCCUUUUUCCUCCAUUGAAGCUUAAUUGUGAGCUUUUUUUCCUCCAUUGAUGAAGCUUCCGAGUUUUAAGUAUGGAAUUAGCUGUUCCUUCCAUGUCAGAUGGUGAAGAAGAUGCUGAUGAUGAAACUGAUGAAGAGCGUCUUCAAACUAUAAGCAUUCUUAGCAAUUGCAUCUGCAAUUCACCAAAACAUUAAGCUUUAAGGAUUUCCUUCUGUGCUACUGAAGAGGAUUCUGUUGUUUACGGCUGAUUUCUUGGGUUACAAACUAAAUCAUGGAAUGCAAUAGUUUGUCACCUAAGAUGCAGCACUUUUCAGCAUCUUUCAGUUCAGCUCAAAAGGAUAUUUUCACGGGGUUGCGAAGAUUUUGGCAAAGGCAUUGACGAUGGUGAAAAGAUAGGACUAUUUUCAUAUCAAAUGCGAGGAAUGUGGCUCAGGUGAAGAAAAGCAGUUGCAACCGUGUGAUAAGUGCAAUAAAGGUUAUUUUUAUGUCAAAUGCGAGUAAUGUGGUUCAGGCGAAGAAAGGGAGUUGUAACCUUAUUUUUAUGUCAAAUGUGAGAAAUGCGGGUCAGGUGAAGAAAGGGAGUUGUAACCUUAUUAUUAUGUCAAAAUGUCAAAUGCAAGAAAUGCAGGUUAGGCGAAGAAAGAGAGUUGUAACCUUACAUUUAUUUCAAAUGUGAAGAAUGCUGGUCAGGCGAAGAAAGGGAGCCGUAAUCCUGUGAUAAGUGCAAUAAAGGGUUUCGAGCUGUGUUAAAGAUUUAUUUUCUGUCAAGUGUGAAGAAUGCGGGUCGGGUGAAGUAAGGGAGUUGUAACCGUGUGAUAAGUGCAAUCAAGGGUUUCAUAUAAGUUGUGUUUGACCCAUCGUUGUUUGGGUCUCCAUGACCAUUAAUUAGCAGAGUGAGGAAACUCAUUUUAAAAAGUUGUACAUUUUUAUUUUGUUUUUGAAAUUCAAUGCUUGCAUCGCGGGCAUUUAAAUUAAUUGAGCACAUUGAUAAUUAGUAGUAUAAUGAAAGUUGUCGAACCCUCUUAUUA